GUGGGGAAUUUUGGACAAUGGGCGCAAGCCUGAUCCAGCCAUGCCGCGUGUGUGAAGAAGGCCUUCGGGUUGUAAAGCACUUUCGGACGGAACGAAAUCGCGCGGGCGAAUACCCCGCGUGGAUGACGGUACCGUAAGAAGAAGCACCGGCUAACUACGUGCCAGCAGCCGCGGUAAUACGUAGGGUGCGAGCGUUAAUCGGAAUUACUGGGCGUAAAGCGUGCGCAGGUGGCGUCGCAAGUCAGGCGUGAAAUCCCCGAGCUCAACUUGGGAAUUGCGCUUGAAACUACGGUGCUGGAGUGCGGCAGAGGGAGGUGGAAUUCCACGUGUAGCGGUGAAAUGCGUAGAGAUGUGGAGGAACACCGAUGGCGAAGGCAGCCUCCUGGGUCGACACUGACGCUCAUGCACGAAAGCGUGGGGAGCAAACAGGAUUAGAUACCCGAGUAGUCC
RNAcentral lists this ribosomal RNA (450 nucleotides) under uncultured bacterium. Its description in RNAcentral is "bacterial SSU rRNA". It matches the Rfam family "Bacterial small subunit ribosomal RNA", at positions 354 to 796 of the family's 1533-position model. The record is from RNAcentral.